GGACCUCUACUAAUACAAGAACGCUGGACCUGCGAUUGCCAAUCUGUUUUUGAAGCAACUCGAAUUUGCCAUUUUGGUGCUGAUAGGCAGCAGUUAGCGUCAUGUGAACAGCACUCGGAACUAAAUCCUGACAACAUA
Molecule: long non-coding RNA, 138 nt
Organism: Maniola jurtina (meadow brown)
Lineage: Eukaryota; Metazoa; Arthropoda; Insecta; Lepidoptera; Nymphalidae
Exons: 3
Source: RefSeq, a predicted model, not a curated record